UACGGAGGGUGUAAGCGUUGUCCGGAAUCACUGGGCGUAAAGGGCGCGUAGGCGGCUCGGUAAGUAGGGGGUGAAAUCCUGCGGCUUAACCGCAGGGCUGCCUUCUAAACUGUCGAGCUUGAGCACGGUAGAGGCAGAUGGAAUUCCCGGUGUAGCGGUGGAAUGCGUAGAGAUCGGGAAGAACAUCAGUGGCGAAGGCGGUCUGCUGGGCCGUUGCUGACGCUGAGGCACGAAGGCCAGGGGAGCAAACGGG
RNAcentral lists this ribosomal RNA (253 nucleotides) under uncultured bacterium. RNAcentral describes it as "partial 16S ribosomal RNA". It matches the Rfam family "Bacterial small subunit ribosomal RNA", at positions 524 to 776 of the family's 1533-position model. The record is from RNAcentral.